AUUAUGGAGAGUUUGAUCCUAGCUCAGGAUGAACGCUGGCGGCAUGCUUAACACAUGCAAGUUGAACGGGUUUAAGUUUAUUAAACUUAAACAAGUAGCGGACGGGUGAGUAACGCGUAAGAACCUACCUUUAGGUAAGGAAUAACUAUUGGAAACGAUAGAUAAUACCUUAUAAGCUUAUAGUAAAAGAUAAAAUCGCCUAAGGAUGGGCUUGCGUCUGAUUAGCUUGUUGGUGAUUUAAAAGAUUCACCAAGGCAACGAUCAGUAGUUGGUCUAAGAGGAUGAUCAACCACACUGGGACUGAGACACGGCCCAGACCUCUACGGAGGGCAGCAG
Molecule: ribosomal RNA, 336 nt
Filed under: Ostreobium sp. HV05007a
Lineage: Eukaryota; Viridiplantae; Chlorophyta; Ulvophyceae; Bryopsidales; Ostreobiaceae
Description: SSU rRNA
Rfam family: Bacterial small subunit ribosomal RNA
Source: RNAcentral